ACACGUCUACAUUAGAUACCCCGGUAGUCCCAGCCGUAAACUAUGCGCGUUAGGUGUAUCGGUGACCACGAGUUACCGAGGUGCCGAAGGGAAACCGUGAAACGUGCCGCCUGGGAAGUACGGUCGCAAGGCUGAAACUUAAAGGAAUUGGCGGGGAGCACCACAACAGGUGGAGCCUGCGGUUUAAUUGGACUCAACGCCGGGAAGCUCACCGGAUAGGACAGCAGAAUGAUUGCCGGGCUGAAGACCCUGCAUGACUAGCUG
This 264-nucleotide ribosomal RNA is filed under the name uncultured archaeon. RNAcentral's name for it is "partial 16S ribosomal RNA". It matches the Rfam family "Archaeal small subunit ribosomal RNA", at positions 717 to 982 of the family's 1478-position model. The record is from RNAcentral.